This 24-nucleotide non-coding RNA is filed under the name Gossypium hirsutum (cotton). Lineage: Eukaryota; Viridiplantae; Streptophyta; Magnoliopsida; Malvales; Malvaceae. The record is from RNAcentral.
AUCACCCGUGGAUAAAACUGUCAA